RNAcentral lists this ribosomal RNA (334 nucleotides) under uncultured bacterium. RNAcentral's name for it is "bacterial SSU rRNA". It matches the Rfam family "Bacterial small subunit ribosomal RNA", at positions 568 to 899 of the family's 1533-position model. The record is from RNAcentral.
CGUGUAGGCGGCCUUUUAAGUCAGACGUGAAAUCCAUGGGCUUAACCCAUGAAUUGCGUUUGAAACUGGAGGGCUUGAGGAUCGGAGAGGGCAGUGGAAUUCCCAGUGUAGCGGUGAAAUGCGUAGAUAUUGGGAGGAACACCAGUGGCGAAGGCGACUGCCUGGACGACACCUGACGCUGAGGCGCGAAAGCUAGGGGAGCAAACGGGAUUAGAUACCCCGGUAGUCCUAGCCGUAAACGAUGGGUACUAGGUGUGGGAGGUAUCGACCCCUUCCGUGCCGCAGUUAACACAAUAAGUACCCCGCCUGGGGAGUACGGCCGCGAAGGUUGAAA